RNAcentral lists this ribosomal RNA (507 nucleotides) under uncultured bacterium. Its description in RNAcentral is "partial 16S ribosomal RNA". It matches the Rfam family "Bacterial small subunit ribosomal RNA", at positions 30 to 523 of the family's 1533-position model. The record is from RNAcentral.
AUUGAACGCUGGCGGCAUGCCUAACACAUGCAAGUCGAACGGCAGCACAGUAUGUAGCAAUACAUAUGGGUGGCGAGUGGCGGACGGGUGCGUAAUAUGUAGGGAUCUGCCCUGAAGCGGGGGACAACCCGGGGAAACCCGGGCUAAUACCGCAUAAUACUCUACGGGGGAAAUCUGGCACGCAAGUGCUGGGGCUUUAGGAUGAACCUACAUCCGAUUAGCUAGUUGGUGAGGUAAUAGCUCACCAAGGCAAUGAUCGGUAGCUGGUCUGAGAGGAUGACCAGCCACACUGGGACUGAGACACGGCCCAGACUCCUACGGGAGGCAGCAGUGGGGAAUAUUGGACAAUGGGGGAAACCCUGAUCCAGCAAUGCCGCGCGGGUGAAGAAGGCCUUCGGGUUGUAAAGCCCUUUAGGCGGGGAAGAAGGUUAUAGGGUGAUAAGCCUUAUAGCUUGACGGUACCCGCAGAAUAAGCACCGGCUAACUCUGUGCCAGCCGCCGCGGUAA